This 643-nucleotide long non-coding RNA is filed under the name Homo sapiens (human). RNAcentral's name for it is "HSALNT0407428". The record is from RNAcentral. Lineage: Eukaryota; Metazoa; Chordata; Mammalia; Primates; Hominidae.
CCUUUUGAUUGCGCUCUGUCUCUCUCCCCCAUCUCUCCACCUCCUCUCUCCUUUCUCCCUCCCUCUCUCCCUCUCUCUCUUUCCUUUUUUCUUUCUUUCUUUCUUUUCUCUCUCUCUCUCCCUCCUUUCUUUCUUUCUUUCUUUCUUUCUUUCUUUCUUUCUUUCUUUCUUUCUUUCUUUCCAUUCUUUCCAUUCUUUCUUUUCUUCCUUCCUUUCCUUUUGUGGAAAAAGUAGCCGUUCUUUAUAAGAAUAAAAUCACAUCCUUUGCCUUUUCACUUUCUCCCUCCAUCUUCCUCCCUCUCUCUUGUACCCUCAGAUCGCCACGCUUUGGACCUCCCACGAAUGGUUUGAACCUGAGGCAUGAAUUGAGCUUGACUCCCUUGAGGGAGAGUUGCGAGAGGUGCUUACCAGAGUGGAGGAGGGUCAACAAACACAUCUAAAAGACAAAGACUGCAUCAGAAUUAGUGAUAUCCCCAGAUGACUAUGAAUCCAUGUGAAGAUAGUGGAGCCCCAGUGAAAGGAGUUUGAUGCCUGACUUAUUGCCUGGAGCAGAGUCUCCACUGUCAGCUGGUAUUACAUAGUGAUGUAAGGGAGAAAUAAAAAUUUAUUAUAUCAAGUCACUGACAUAUGGGGAUUGUUUGUA